GCCAUGUUAACGUACGGUUAAAGUGCUUUUCUAUAGCGCUAGUGUUUUGUUAUUCUCUGCUGGACGGGUUGUUAUUCUCUGCGGAUGGGUUGACAUGCUGCACGCACAGGUGUUUGUGUAAACGUUCUUCAUCGGUGACAAACGGAUGUAGUUUGGUUGUAGGUGAGUGCUGCGGAUGAACAGGUGAGGAGUGUGCCUUCGAGGCUCAGAGACCUGGCUGACGGCCUAAUGCUGGGAGGCACGAGGAAGAAAUGGACAGCAGAGAGGGCGUUGGUGAAGUGUUAUGAAGAGCACACCCAUUGUCUCAUUCCAUAUAAGUUAAUAAGUCCCUUUCCAUCCUCUGAAAUGGCAGUGAAGCACUGAAAGAAACAGCUCAAGUGGAACAGCAUGGACCCGAGAGUGCAGCUUGCACAUGGAAUCUGCCCUGAGUACACGGCUGCUCCAGUGUGGGUGGAGAGUGGGCGAAGGUGCGUGGCAUCUGCCACAGUCCACCGCCUGAGGAGAAAUAGCAACACUUCACAUUCAAACUCACUUCCACUGCAGCCUUUACAAUGUUAGGCACUGGAUAGAUUGAAAGUGAAUACCGUGUUUCAAUGAAUCAUUUUCUUUGGCCAGGCUUUACUCUCUACCUUCGACAUUUCUUACAGCACACAUUCAGAACAGUGAAGAGGAGGUGGAGAAUGGAUCAUAAAAGCUUCCAGCACACUGUUUACACACAGAAAACAGUAGUUUGUUUAGAUGAAGUAUUAUCUUCAGGCAUUCAAUGAUAAAUUAUUAUUUUCAGGUUUGUUUUUGAGCUUUCAAGUGAAAUAGCUUUAUAUAUUCUUUAUUAUAUGAAAGCAACAUAUAUAACGUUUUCCGAAUCAAUUCCAAUUUUAAUUUUAUUUACUGGACCUUAGACAUAUAAAAUACCCCAAAGUUUGC
Long non-coding RNA from Cyprinus carpio carpio, 924 nucleotides. NCBI's taxonomy places the organism in Eukaryota, Metazoa, Chordata, Actinopteri, Cypriniformes, Cyprinidae. The record is from Ensembl.